RNAcentral lists this transfer RNA (85 nucleotides) under Escherichia coli. RNAcentral describes it as "tRNA-Tyr". The record is from RNAcentral. Lineage: Bacteria; Pseudomonadati; Pseudomonadota; Gammaproteobacteria; Enterobacterales; Enterobacteriaceae.
GGUGGGGUUCCCGAGCGGCCAAAGGGAGCAGACUGUAAAUCUGCCGUCAACUUCGAAGCGCUGAGUAAUCCUUCCCCCACCACCA